GACGAACGCUGGCGGCGUGCUUAACACAUGCAAGUCGAACGGUGAAGCGCCUUCCUUUUUGGUGGGUGUGGAUGAGUGGCGAACGGGUGAGUAACACGUGAGUAACCUGCCCCCUUCUUCUGGAUAACCGCAUGAAAGUGUGGCUAAUACGGGAUAUUCUGGGUCUGUCGCAUGAUGGGUCUGGGAAAGAUAUUGCUUCGGUGGGGGAUGGGCUCGCGGCCUAUCAGCUUGUUGGUGGGGUGAUGGCCUACCAAGGCGGUGACGGGUAGCCGGCCUGAGAGGGUGGACGGACACACUGUGACUGAGACACGGCUCAGACUCCUACGGGGGGCAGCAGUGGGGAAUAUUGCAGAAUGGGCGCGAGCCUGAUGCAGCGACGCCGCGUGAGGGAUGGAGGCCUUCGGGUUGUGAACCUCUUUCGGCAGUGAAGCAGGCCUGCGUCGUUUGUGGGUGGGUUGACGGUAGCUGGAUAAGAAGCGCCGGCUAAAUACGUGC
Molecule: ribosomal RNA, 495 nt
Filed under: uncultured bacterium
Lineage: Bacteria
Description: partial 16S ribosomal RNA
Rfam family: Bacterial small subunit ribosomal RNA
Source: RNAcentral